Molecule: long non-coding RNA, 1293 nt
Organism: Camelus dromedarius (Arabian camel)
Lineage: Eukaryota; Metazoa; Chordata; Mammalia; Artiodactyla; Camelidae
Exons: 3
Source: RefSeq, a predicted model, not a curated record
CACAGAGGGGCUUUUGUACCCAGGAGGGCCCUGCAGGGUCCUGCUUGGUUUCACACUCUUGGAAGUUCACAAAUGCCCCAUUUUAAAAGACCUCUUGGCCAGGCACCUGGGUUUCUGCGGCCAGUCCAUGGGCUGCCACGCUGCACGUGUACACCGGACUUUAGCCCACUGACAGCUGGUGUUAGUUAUCCUUUCCUCAGAGAGUGAUGCUAUUUAAGUGGUUCAUUUGUUCAUCUCUUCUUUCUUCCUUCGUUCAUUUCCUAGCCCUUUCCGUAGAGUAUUUGAAGAGGUCUAAUGUAGUGUGACCUGAGUUUUGUUGGAUGGCCCAGAAUUGAUUUCAUUUUUUCUCUUCAGUUUAGCUCUACAGGCACUUAGGCAAGAGAGUAGAUCAAGGCCCAGUCCCUGCACCAGGGAGCUUACUGCUCAGUGGGGCAGGCGGACGCUCCAGCAGUGACAGCGGGGUAGGGAGUGCUGUGAUGCCGCGCUCCAGGGCACGCGGGAGGCCUUUCAUAUCCGGCAGCUUCCUAAUGGGGUAACUCCCAUCCUGGUGAGCAAACCAAGGCUUAGAGAAAUGAAGUAUUUCACUCAAGGCAACAACAGCUAAGAGAACCCAAGAGCCAAGUCUGCGUGCAGGGAAAAAGACCUCACGGCCCGUGCUCUUAACCACUGGCUCUGUUUUUAUGCCUUUGUAAGACUGUCGAUAAGUCUCAGAGGAGGAAAAAAAUACUUUGCGUCAGAUUUUGGUGUGGAAAACCAGCCUCCUUAUACACAGUUUCAUAUGGAUGGGUACAUGGCUUGGACGAAGUGUUCGUGCCCAGUGACUGGGGAUCCAGUGUCCAUCUGGGGUCUGCAUACUUUGAUUUUUUUUAUUGUUGUCCUUAGGUUUUUAUUUCUUUUUUUUUUAAAUUGACGUACAGUUUACAAUGUUGUGUCCAUUUCUGGUGUACAGCAUAAUGUUUCAAUCAUACAUAUACAUACUUUGGUUAUUAUCAGCCUGAGUUGGGAUGGUGUUCAGGUUGAGACUAUUUUCACAACAAAAUGCCCCAUAUUUGUGUGUUUUAUCAUAUAUCCCAUAUGAUUAUGAAAAAGAGAAGAUAGGAACCAUUUUCCAGAUGAGGAAACUGAGGAUCAGGGAUGUGAAGGGACUUGCCUGAGGAUACAAGGUGCCCAUCUGACCCUGGUUGGACACCUUACCCUCUGCUACCUGGCUGCCACCUAACCCUCCCUGCCCCUCACAUAGGAAUCAUAGGAAUAGCCGAGGAUGAGAUAUCACAUUGGUCAGUGUCCCUCACU